This is a long non-coding RNA of Bos taurus (domestic cattle), 1753 nucleotides long. The record is from Ensembl. Lineage: Eukaryota; Metazoa; Chordata; Mammalia; Artiodactyla; Bovidae.
GUACAGGUUUUGAAAGUUAGGGUACCGUGUGUGGGGAUCAAACUCUGCUCCUCAGGGAGAAGCUCUGGGUUUUCUGUUCACUCCUGAUUGUGGGUGGUUGUGCUGGGGACGGCGUUUAUGGGGAGAUUAUGUCCCAGCUGUUCCUGUUUGAUCUGACGUUGCUGCAGAGUCGUUGUGUCCACGGGGGGAGCGGGAGGGGUUAUGACCCAACCUCGUCCUCCUUGAGCCGGAGCGUUUUUCUUCUCCUGCUCGGGGACAGGAGAGCUCCAGGUUCUCGGCCCUUGGACUCAGAAACUUACACUAGAAGUGCCUUGGUUCUCAGGGUCACAGGCCCGGGCUGGAUUAUCCCAGUGGCUCUUCUGUGUCUCCAGGUUGUAGGUGGCAGGUUGUCAGACUUCUCUGGCUUCAUUCGUAAUGUGUGUGUGUGCUUGGUGGCUAAGUCAUGCCAGACUCUCUAGCCUGCUAGCCGCCUCUGUCCAUACUAUUUUUCAGGCGAGAAUACUAGAGUGGGUUUUCAUUUCCUACCUCAGGGGAUCUUCCCCACCCAGGGAUUGACCCCGUCUCUUGCAUUGGAGGUGGAUCCUUUACCACUGAGCCACCUGGAAAUCCCUCAUUCUUAACACUGGAACCAAUUCUGAUAAUGUCUCCUCUUGAAUACAGCUCUAUCCUGUUGGUUCUGUUUUCUCUGGAGAGCCCUGACUAACACACUGCCAUGAUCAACUGGGCGUGGAGAAGGAGCAGCUUGGAAUGGCAGCGGACAGCCAGAACAGAUGGACAGCAGCUGAAUCAAUCAAGAAGCGAUUGCAAUCUAUGGUCCUGGAGGCAAUUACCACUCCCUCACUGAGAAGUCAAUGAAAAGGAUACAUCAAAGAGUUAUUAACACACUCAUAAAUUUGUAAAGCAUCUCCUAACGACACCACUAUAACUAUCCCCAUGUAUAAUGGCUUCAUAAUUUUAUUUGUUGAAGUAUAAUGUACACAAGUGAAAUGUUUAUAUCUUAGGUGUGCUGUCCAAUCAGUUUUGAUAAAUGCAUAUACUUUUGCAGACUAUGCCCCUAUCAAGACACAGAGCAUUUCCUUCAAACCCAGAAAGUUACUUGUGUCCCUACCCAGGCAAUGCCCCUCUCAGAAACAACAACUAAUCCUGUUAUUUGUCACUAUAUUCCAAAGUUUCAUAUAAAUUGAAUCCUGUAGUUUGUCAUCUUUUGCAUCUUGCUUUUUUAUUUAGCAUAAUAUUUUCUGAGAAUGACUCAUAUUAUUUCAAGUACCAGUAUCUGAUCCCUUUUUAUUGCAAAGUAAGAUUCCAUUAUAAGAAAAUACACAGUUUAAUAAUCCAUUCUUCUAUUGAUGGACAUCUGGGAUGCUUACAGGUUGGAAUUGUUAUGAAAAGAAGAUUCUAUGAACAAUUUUAUUUUCCUUUUUGGUGUAACUAUGUUUUUGUUUCUCUUGAAUAAAUAUCUUGGAGUAGAAUUGCCAGCUCAUAGAGUAUAUGUGCAUUCAACUUUUGGAGAACUAAGUUUUCUGAAAUGUUUGUUCUGUUUUACACUCCCACUAGUAAUAUAUGAGAAUUUGAGUUACUCCAGUAUUUGAUGUUGUCAGUAUUUUAUUUUAGCCAUUCUAGUAGGUGUGUAAUGAUAUUUCAUUAUGGUUUGAAUUUGCUUUUCCUGGAUGAAUGAUAUGAAAACUUUUUCAUAUGCCUAUUGGCCAUUUUGGAUAUCUCCUUUGGGCAAAAGUGUGGAAAAUGUGAAUUGUCU